RNAcentral lists this ribosomal RNA (459 nucleotides) under uncultured bacterium. RNAcentral's name for it is "partial 16S ribosomal RNA". It matches the Rfam family "Bacterial small subunit ribosomal RNA", at positions 338 to 795 of the family's 1533-position model. The record is from RNAcentral.
CCUACGGGAGGCAGCAGUGAGGAAUAUUGGUCAAUGGGCGCGAGCCUGAACCAGCCAAGCCGCGUGAGGGAAGACGGUCCUAUGGAUUGUAAACCUCUUUUGUCGGGGAGCAAAAGACGCCACGCGUGGCGUUCCGAGAGUACCCGAAGAAAAAGCAUCGGCUAACUCCGUGCCAGCAGCCGCGGUAAUACGGAGGAUGCGAGCGUUAUCCGGCUUUAUUGGGUUUAAAGGGUGCGCAGGCGGAAGAUCAAGUCAGCGGUAAAAUUGAGAGGCUCAACCUCUUCGUGCCGUUGAUACUGGUGUUCUUGAGUGAGCGAGAGGUAUGCGGAAUGCGUGGUGUAGCGGUGAAAUGCAUAGAGAUCACGCAGAACACCGAUUGCGAAGGCAGCAUACCGGCGCUCAACUGACGUUGAUGCACGAAAGUGUGGGGAGCGAACAGGAUUAGAUACCCUAGUAGUC